This 325-nucleotide ribosomal RNA is filed under the name Adialytus ambiguus. RNAcentral describes it as "partial 16S ribosomal RNA". Lineage: Eukaryota; Metazoa; Arthropoda; Insecta; Hymenoptera; Braconidae. The record is from RNAcentral.
AUCUGCCCACUGAAAUUUUAAAUGGCUGCAGUAUCAAUAACUGUACAAAGGUAGCAUAAUAAUUAGUUUUUUAAUUAAAAACUAGAAUGAAAGAUUAAAUGAAAUAUAAACUUUAUAAAUAAAAUUAAAUUAAAAUUAAAUUUUAAGUUAAAAUUCUUAAAUAUUAUUAAAAGACGAGAAGACCCUUUAGAAUUUUAUAUUAAUUAAAAUUAAAAUUAUAAUUAUUAAUAAUAUAAAUUUUAAUUAAUAUUUAAUUGGGGUAAUUUUUUAAUUUUAUAAACUUUAAAAUAAUCAAACAUAAAUUAAUGAAUUUAUAAACCUAAAA